This 329-nucleotide ribosomal RNA is filed under the name uncultured Ruminococcus sp. RNAcentral's name for it is "bacterial SSU rRNA". It matches the Rfam family "Bacterial small subunit ribosomal RNA", at positions 28 to 339 of the family's 1533-position model. The record is from RNAcentral. Lineage: Bacteria; Bacillati; Bacillota; Clostridia; Eubacteriales; Oscillospiraceae.
GAUGAACGCUGGCGGCGUGCUUAACACAUGCAAGUCGAACGAAGCAUCUGGUUUGAUUUCUUCGGAUUGAAGACCUUAUGACUUAGUGGCGGACGGGUGAGUAACGCGUGGGCAAUCUGCCCCAUACCGGGGGACAACAGUUGGAAACGACUGCUAAUACCGCAUAAGCGCACGGGACCGCAUGGUCGUGUGUGAAAAACUCCGGUGGUAUGGGAUGAGCCCGCGUUGGAUUAGGUAGUUGGUGAGGUAACGGCCCACCAAGCCGACGAUCCAUAGCCGACCUGAGAGGGUGACCGGCCACAUUGGGACUGAGACACGGCCCAAACUCC